AUGCUUAUUCCCAAGGUUAAGAGAGCUAGAAAAGUGGAGCAUUAUAGGCCUAUUUCCCUUGCUAAUUUUAAGCAUAAAAUCAUCACUAAACUCCUUGUUGACAUGUUGGCUUGCAUUCUUCAUAAGACUAUAUCCAAAGAGAAAAAUGCUUUGCGAAAACCUACCACCCAACAGAUUUAUUUUUUAUUCAGAACAAGAUUGGUGAAGUCUGGAAUCACAGUGACAGGUGUUUGUUUCGUAAUAUAG
Molecule: non-coding RNA, 246 nt
Organism: Vicia faba (fava bean)
Lineage: Eukaryota; Viridiplantae; Streptophyta; Magnoliopsida; Fabales; Fabaceae
Source: the annotation of a GenBank genome assembly